Molecule: unclassified non-coding RNA, 458 nt
Filed under: Hevea brasiliensis (rubber tree)
Lineage: Eukaryota; Viridiplantae; Streptophyta; Magnoliopsida; Malpighiales; Euphorbiaceae
Source: RNAcentral
AAUGUGGCAGAGAGUCGAUUCAAGUAAGGCUUCUUGCUACUAUGAAGUUAUUGAUUCAUAGUGUAUUUGCUUUUAUUGUCAACACUUGUUUGUCAAUUCUUUGGUUUGAGGCCAUUUGCACAAUGGCUUUAUCAUUGUUAGUUUUGUUUGCUGAAAGCAUGCAGUUGUAGUUUCUCAUAGUUGGACAGUUUGACCUCGAGUUCUGCUAGAUUUUUUUUCUGACUUUGGUGGUCUACUUGUUAAAAAUAGGCCUAUGUAACCAUCUGAAACCUCAUUUUCUUUUCCGAGCAUCCACAGUGCAUUUCAUUCUAUUUAUUAAUUUCCUGAGGGAUGUACCUGAUGAGUGUUGUUUGCUGUUUUAUGUGGAUAUAUACAAAUAACAAUGUUUAGAAUGUCCAAAAUAUUGCUUUGAAUAUUGUUUAAAAGAAAACUCUUUGAAUAAAAUGCAUGAGAAGAAG